RNAcentral lists this ribosomal RNA (1343 nucleotides) under metagenome. RNAcentral describes it as "bacterial LSU rRNA". It matches the Rfam family "Bacterial large subunit ribosomal RNA", at positions 794 to 2135 of the family's 2925-position model. The record is from RNAcentral.
AAAUUAGCGGAUGAGCUGUGGAUAGGGGUGAAAGGCUAAACAAACUUGGAAAUAGCUGGUUCUCUCCGAAAACUAUUUAGGUAGUGCCUCAAGUAUUACCAUCGAGGGUAGAGCACUGUUAUGGCUAGGGGGUCAUGGCGACUUACCAAACCAUUGCAAACUCCGAAUACCGAUGAGUACAGCUUGGGAGACAGAGCACAGGGUGCUAACGUCCGGACUCAAGAGGGAAACAACCCAGACCGCCAGCUAAGGUCCCCAAAAUUGGCUAAGUGGGAAACGAAGUGGGAAGGCUAAAACAGUCAGGAUGUUGGCUUAGAAGCAGCCAUCAUUUAAAGAAAGCGUAAUAGCUCACUGAUCGAGUCGUCCUGCGCGGAAGAUGUAACGGGGCUAAGCCAGUUACCGAAGCUGCGGAUGUGCAAUUUAUUGCAUGUGGUAGGAGAGCGUUCUGUAAGCCUGUGAAGGUGGCUUGUGAAGGCUGCUGGAGGUAUCAGAAGUGCGAAUGCUGACAUGAGUAGCGUUAAAGGGGGUGAAAAGCCCCCUCGCCGAAAGCGCAAGGUUUCCUACGCAACGUUCAUCGGCGUAGGGUGAGUCGGCCCCUAAGGCGAGGCAGAGAUGCGUAGCUGAUGGGAAACAGGUCAAUAUUCCUGUACCGAUUGCAAGUGCGAUGUGGGGACGGAGAAGGUUAGCUCAGCCAACUGUUGGAUAUGUUGGUUCAAGCGUGUAGUCGUGUCUCUUAGGCAAAUCCGGGAGAAUUAGAUGAGGCGUGAUAACGAGUCUGCUUGCAGACGAAGUGAGUGAUACCCUGCUUCCAAGAAAAGCCACUAAGCUUCAGCUUGUAAUUGACCGUACCGCAAACCGACACUGGUGCGCGAGAUGAGUAUUCUAAGGCGCUUGAGAGAACUCUGGAGAAGGAACUCGGCAAAUUGACACCGUAACUUCGGAAGAAGGUGUGCCUUUAGUAGGUGAACCAUUUACUUGGGGAGCCCAAUGAGGCCGCAGAGAAUCGGUGGCUGCAACUGUUUAUUAAAAACACAGCACUCUGCAAAGACGAAAGUCGACAUAUAGGGUGUGACUCCUGCCCGGUGCUGGAAGAUUAAAUGAUGGGGUGCAAGCUCUUGACUGAAGUCCCAGUAAACGGCCGCCGUAACAAUAACGGUCCUAAGGUAGCGAAAUUCCUUGUCGGGUAAGUUCCGACCUGCACGAAUGGAGUAAUGAUGGCCACACUGUCUCCUCCAGAGACUCAGCGAAGUUGAAAUGUUUGUGAUGAUGCAAUCUCCCCGCGGAAAGACGGAAAGACCCCAUGAACCUUUACUGUAGCUUUACAUUGGACUUUGAACAGAUCC